Molecule: ribosomal RNA, 468 nt
Filed under: uncultured bacterium
Lineage: Bacteria
Description: partial 16S ribosomal RNA
Rfam family: Bacterial small subunit ribosomal RNA
Source: RNAcentral
GACGAACGCUGGCGGCGUGCUUAACACAUGCAAGUCGAACGGAAAGGCCCUGCUUUUGUGGGGUGCUCGAGUGGCGAACGGGUGAGUAACACGUGAGUAACCUGCCCUUGACUUUGGGAUAACUUCAGGAAACUGGGGCUAAUACCGGAUAGGAGCUCCUGCUGCAUGGUGGGGGUUGGAAAGUUUCGGCGGUUGGGGAUGGACUCGCGGCUUAUCAGCUUGUUGGUGGGGUAGUGGCUUACCAAGGCUUUGACGGGUAGCCGGCCUGAGAGGGUGACCGGCAACAUGGGGACUGAGAUACGGCCCAGACUCCUAGGGGAGGCAGAAGGGGGGAAUAUGGCAAAAGGGGCGGAAGCCUGAUGCAGCAACCCCGCGUGCGGGAUGACGGCCUUCGGGUUGUAAACCGUUUUCGCCUGUGACGAAGGGUGAGUGAGGUGAAUGGGUAAAGAAGCACCGGCUAACUAGGUG